RNAcentral lists this ribosomal RNA (501 nucleotides) under uncultured bacterium. RNAcentral's name for it is "partial 16S ribosomal RNA". It matches the Rfam family "Bacterial small subunit ribosomal RNA", at positions 29 to 523 of the family's 1533-position model. The record is from RNAcentral.
AUUGAACGCUGGCGGCAUGCCUUACACAUGCAAGUCGAACGGCAGCACGGGUGCUUGCACCUGGUGGCGAGUGGCGAACGGGUGAGUAAUACAUCGGAACGUACCUUAUCGUGGGGGAUAACGCAGCGAAAGCUGUGCUAAUACCGCAUACGCCCUGAGGGGGCAAGCGGGGGAUCGCAAGACCUCGCGCGAUUAGAGCGGCCGAUGCCUGAUUAGCUUGUUGGUGGGGUAAAAGCCCACCAAGGCGACGAUCAGUAGCUGGUCUGAGAGGACGAUCAGCCACACUGGGACUGAGACACGGCCCAGACUCCUACGGGAGGCAGCAGUGGGGAAUUUUGGACAAGGGGGGCAACCCUGAUCCAGCAAUGCCGCGUGAGUGAAGAAGGCCUUCGGGUUGUAAAGCUCUUUUGUCAGGGAAGAAACACCGGCUCUAACACAGUCUGGGAAUGACGGUACCUGAAGAAUAAGCACCGGCUAACUACGUGCCAGCCGCCGCCGUAA